This 374-nucleotide ribosomal RNA is filed under the name uncultured Bacteroidales bacterium. RNAcentral's name for it is "bacterial SSU rRNA". It matches the Rfam family "Bacterial small subunit ribosomal RNA", at positions 22 to 395 of the family's 1533-position model. Lineage: Bacteria; Pseudomonadati; Bacteroidota; Bacteroidia; Bacteroidales. The record is from RNAcentral.
GCUCAGGAUGAACGCUAGCUACAGGCUUAACACAUGCAAGUCGAGGGGUAGCAGGGUAGCAAUACCGCUGACGACCGGCGCACGGGUGAGUAACACGUAUCCAACCUUCCCAUAACUCGGGGAUAGCCUUUCGAAAGAAAGAUUAAUACCCGAUAGUACUUAAGAAAGGCAUCUUUUUUAAGUUAAAGAUUUAUUGGUUAUGGAUGGGGAUGCGUUCCAUUAGAUAGUUGGUGAGGUAACGGCUCACCAAGUCUUCGAUGGAUAGGGGUUCUGAGAGGAAGGUCCCCCACAUUGGUACUGAGACACGGACCAAACUCCUACGGGAGGCAGCAGUGAGGAAUAUUGGUCAAUGGGCGAGAGCCUGAACCAGCCAA